RNAcentral lists this ribosomal RNA (254 nucleotides) under uncultured bacterium. RNAcentral describes it as "partial 16S ribosomal RNA". It matches the Rfam family "Bacterial small subunit ribosomal RNA", at positions 524 to 776 of the family's 1533-position model. The record is from RNAcentral.
GACGUAGGGCGCGAGCGUUGUCCGGAUUUAUUGGGCGUAAAGAGCUCGUAGGCGGCUUGUCGCGUCAACUGUGAAAACCCGUGGCUCAACCAUGUGGUCUGCAGUCGAUACGGGCAGGCUAGAAUUCGGUAGGGGAGACUGGAAUUCCUGGUGUAGCGGUGAAAUGCGUAGAUAUCGAGAAGAACACCGGUGGCGAAGGCGCCUUCCUGGCCUGCAACUGACGCUGAUACGCGAAAGCGUGGGGAGCAAACCGG